AAGUAAGAAGCGAUUGACGCAAUCAAUUUCGACCUGAUCUUAGAUAAAUUUUAUCCUUACUUA
RNAcentral lists this transfer RNA (63 nucleotides) under Zootermopsis angusticollis (Pacific dampwood termite). Its description in RNAcentral is "tRNA-Arg". Lineage: Eukaryota; Metazoa; Arthropoda; Insecta; Blattodea; Termopsidae. The record is from RNAcentral.